Molecule: ribosomal RNA, 1438 nt
Filed under: uncultured organism
Description: 16S ribosomal RNA
Rfam family: Bacterial small subunit ribosomal RNA
Source: RNAcentral
CGAACGCUGGCGGCGUGCUUAACACAUGCAAGUCGAACGGAAAGGCCCUGCUUUUGUGGGGUGCUCGAGUGGCGAACGGGUGAGUAGCACGUGAGUAACCUGCCUUGACUUUGGGAUAACUUCAGGAAACUGGGGCUAAUACCGGAUAGGAGCUCCUGCUGCAUGGUGGGGGUUGGAAAGUUUCGGCGGUUGGGGAUGGACUCGCGGCUUAUCAGCUUGUUGGUGGGGUAGUGGCUUACCAAGGCUUUGACGGGUAGCCGGCCUGAGAGGGUGACCGGCCACAUUGGGACUGAGAUACGGCCCAGACUCCUACGGGAGGCAGCAGUGGGGAAUAUUGCACAAUGGGCGGAAGCCUGAUGCAGCAACGCCGCGUGCGGGAUGACGGCCUUCGGGUUGUAAACCGCUUUCGCCUGUGACGAAGCGUGAGUGACGGUAAUGGGUAAAGAAGCACCGGCUAACUACGUGCCAGCAGCCGCGGUGAUACGUAGGGUGCGAGCGUUGUCCGGAUUUAUUGGGCGUAAAGGGCUCGUAGGUGGUUGAUCGCGUCGGAAGUGUAAUCUUGGGGCUUAACCCUGAGCGUGCUUUCGAUACGGGUUGACUUGAGGAAGGUAGGGGAGAAUGGAAUUCCUGGUGGAGCGGUGGAAUGCGCAGAUAUCAGGAGGAACGCCAGUGGCGAAGGCGGUUCUCUGGGCCUUUCCUGACGCUGAGGAGCGAAAGCGUGGGGAGCGAACAGGCUUAGAUACCCUGGUAGUCCACGCUGUAAACGGUGGGUACUAGGUGUGGGGUCCAUUCCACGGGUUCCGUGCCGUAGCUAACGCUUUAAGUACCCCGCCUGGGGAGUACGGCCGCAAGGCUAAAACUCAAAGGAAUUGACGGGGCCCCGCACAAGCGGCGGAGCAUGCGGAUUAAUUCGAUGCAACGCGUAGAACCUUACCUGGGUUUGACAUGGAUCGGGAGUGCUCAGAGAUGGGUGUGCCUCUUUUGGGGUCGGUUCACAGGUGGUGCAUGGCUGUCGUCAGCUCGUGUCGUGAGAUGUUGGGUUAAGUCCCGCAACGAGCGCAACCCUUGUUCACUGUUGCCAGCACGUUAUGGUGGGGACUCAGUGGAGACCGCCGGGGUCAACUCGGAGGAAGGUGGGGAUGACGUCAAGUCAUCAUGCCCCUUAUGUCCAGGGCUUCACGCAUGCUACAAUGGCUGGUACAGAGAGUGGCGAGCCUGUGAGGGUGAGCGAAUCUCGGAAAGCCGGUCUCAGUUCGGAUUGGGGUCUGCAACUCGACCUCAUGAAGUCGGAGUCGCUAGUAAUCGCAGAUCAGCAACGCUGCGGUGAAUACGUUCCCGGGGCUUGUACACACCGCCCGUCAAGUCAUGAAAGUUGGUAACACCCGAAGCCGGUGGCCUAACCGUUGUGGGGGAGCCGUCGAAGGUGGGACUGGUGAUU